UGGUUGUAGCCAAAUCAAUGUCGAGAAGUUUACUGGCCGAUUGUCGUGAGAUCUGCGAUCUCCAUCGGCAUAUCCGCUUACCGAACUUCUCACACUU
Small nucleolar RNA from Malania oleifera, 97 nucleotides. RefSeq annotates it as small nucleolar RNA snoR109. The record is from RefSeq and is a predicted model, not a curated record. The transcript has a single exon. Lineage: Eukaryota; Viridiplantae; Streptophyta; Magnoliopsida; Santalales; Ximeniaceae.